UGUGUAUAACACACACGGAUCGGCACAUGCGCCGGGGUGCUCCGAAGCGUUCAGCUGACAGGGAGUCGGUAGCAUGGGAUCCGUGGAGGCAUAAC
RNAcentral lists this small RNA (95 nucleotides) under Morganella psychrotolerans. RNAcentral's name for it is "t44 RNA". It matches the Rfam family "t44 RNA". Rfam says of the family: This family consists of a number of bacterial RNA genes of between 135 and 170 bases in length. The t44 gene is found between the map and rpsB genes in all species in the full alignment apart from Shigella flexneri. The record is from RNAcentral. Lineage: Bacteria; Pseudomonadati; Pseudomonadota; Gammaproteobacteria; Enterobacterales; Morganellaceae.